AUGUAUAUUAUUUGUCACACUCACAGCGGUAUAAUUAGCUACAGUAUGCAAGUGAGGGCGUUGGGCCAUCAUGGCCCUUAUGUUAAUGAUUUUCUUUCAUACAUGAAGGAAAAUCAUAAAAACCAGACACUAGUACAAAAUUCUUGCAUGCUGAUUCUGUGACACUGCUUACACUUCAGAGUACAAGAGUAUGGUUCGCCAGGGACUUGCUGUGUGACACUGCUUACACUUCAGAGUACAAGAGUAUGGUUCGCCAGGGACUUGCUGCUAAGACGACACAUACAAGAGGAAGCACGUAGAUAAAGAGGCGCGAAGUCAGAUCAACUUUGAGGACCUGAGAGAAAAAGUGCUGAAAGGGAAACAGCUCUAAUAGGUCAGCAGGCCAUGCCAGCAGGUGUUACGUGGGGCGUGUACCUUAGUACGCUGACCGUCUCCCUACUGGCCAUGCUGGCUGGAGCACAGACUGUCCAUUUUGUAUACAGACCUCUUGAGGAUUUCCAAGCAAUGGUUGACAAGCGAAAAAAGGAAAUAAGGGAAGAAAUGAGACAGGAAAAACUCCAGGAAAGUCUGAAAAACAAAACUAGUUCUUAAUCAGUGAUAUAAAUUUUACAAAUUAUUAAAAAUAUAUCUGUAUGUGAUUGUAUUGAAAACUAUCAUUUAAAUAUAUCUGUUGUGACCGUGUUUAAUUGCGUACAUUUAGCUGCAUUGAUAA
This is a long non-coding RNA of Dreissena polymorpha, 712 nucleotides long. RefSeq lists it as uncharacterized. The transcript is spliced from 4 exons. The record is from RefSeq and is a predicted model, not a curated record. Lineage: Eukaryota; Metazoa; Mollusca; Bivalvia; Myida; Dreissenidae.